Molecule: long non-coding RNA, 421 nt
Filed under: Ananas comosus (pineapple)
Lineage: Eukaryota; Viridiplantae; Streptophyta; Magnoliopsida; Poales; Bromeliaceae
Description: long non-coding RNA (ACOM_LNC013794)
Source: RNAcentral
CCUAAACAUUUCAAUAAUACUUUUUCAGCUAUUCUCUUAUAGAGUUGUCCGUUUAAUAAACAAUAGCUGAUUGCUUUUCUUCGAAUAUUAUAAUCGACUCGCUUUUUAGGGUCUUCUAAAUAUUCAAUUAUAGACUUUCUCCAGUCUUCUUUAACCACUAUGGGAGUAAUAAUCGGCUCUCGUAUAUGAACCGAUGGUAAUAAUCUUCGUUCUAUUUUCACUAGAUCCUGUUUCGGCUCUUUAUACCCUGAAGCCGAUUGGGCCAAUUCAUUAGCCUGUUCAUUUUCUUCUCUGUUCAUAUGUUCAAACUCGUCCUCCCCGAAACUGCAAAGUAAUUCUAACAUUUUUCUCAAAUAAUUUUGCAAGUUUCGGUUUUCACAUCGGUAUUCCCCAUUUACUUGUUUAAUCACUAAUUGUGAAU